AUCAUUACACAAUAACCAGGCGGGCUGGACACCCCCCGCUGGGCACUGCUUCACGGCGUGCGCGGCGGGGCCGGCCCUGCUGAAUUAUUCACCCGUGUCUUUUGCGUACUUCUUGUUUCCUGGGUGGGCUCGCCCGCCCUCAGGACCAACCACAAACCUUUUGCAAUAGCAAUCAGCGUCAGUAACAACGUAAUUAAUUACAACUUUCAACAACGGAUCUCUUGGUUCUGGCAUCGAUGAAGAACGCAGCGAAAUGCGAUACGUAGUGUGAAUUGCAGAAUUCAGUGAAUCAUCGAAUCUUUGAACGCACAUUGCGCCCUUUGGUAUUCCAAAGGGCAUGCCUGUUCGAGCGUCAUUUGUACCCUCAAGCUUUGCUUGGUGUUGGGCGUCUUUUGUCUCCAGUUCGCUGGAGACUCGCCUUAAAGUCAUUGGCAGCCGGCCUACUGGUUUCGGAGCGCAGCACAAGUCGCGCUCUUCGCCCAGCCAAGGUCAGCGUCCAGCAAGCCUUUUUUUCAACCUUUGA
RNAcentral lists this ribosomal RNA (523 nucleotides) under Lewia cf. infectoria BA1228. RNAcentral's name for it is "eukaryotic LSU rRNA". The stretch from base 202 to 355 matches the Rfam family "5.8S ribosomal RNA". The record is from RNAcentral. Lineage: Eukaryota; Fungi; Ascomycota; Dothideomycetes; Pleosporales; Pleosporaceae.